CAAUUAGCUUUUGCGUCUUAAUUCUUCAACAUCAUUCUAGCAGGAUUUUAAACACAAAUCAAAUAGGAAAACAAAGUGGUCUGAUUCAGUCACAGAUUAUACUUUGUUCACUGGCUAGACCGCUAAUAAAUUAUUAUUGCUACUUUUUUAGAACAAUGUGUUCAAAACUGACCAUCAACUACUGGGUUGUCUGGAAGACUGGAAAUAUAUUCUUACCUUUCAGAGACUAGUCUUUACCUUUAAGAUAUUUUAGCCUCUGAAAUGCCUAAAAGUAGGUGGUGAGCUUUAAAUGACUGCUACUCUCUCCAUGAGCUUAACAGUUCCUGACUUAAGAAUGAACAAAUCCAGGAGUUCCCGUCGUGGCACAGUGGUUAACGAAUCCGAUUAGGAAUCAUGAGGUUGCGUGGGUUUGAUCCCUGGCCUUGCUCAGUGGGUUAAGGAUCCAGCGUUGCCAUGAGCUGUGGUGUAGGUCGCAGACACGGCUCGGUUGCUGUGCCUCUGGUGUAGGCUGGCAGCUCCAGCUCUGAUUAGACCCCUAGCCUGGGAACCUCCAUAUGCCACGGGAGCGGCCCAAGAAAUGGCAAAAAGACAAAAAAAAAAAAAAAAAAAAGAACAAAUCCAUGAGUGUUUUAUUAGUUUUCACUGUAUUAAGUCCACUGCAAAAGUUUACUUUUUUCAAGUUUAAGAUACUACACACAUGGAAAAAACACAAUCCUAUGUAGACAUGAGAACAAUCACAGGAAAUGAUACCAGGUAGCAAGUCAUACUUUACAUUUCUACAAGGCAUUACAAUUUUCAGACUACUUUCAUGAUACUUUUUGUAUUUUAUUCUCAUAGUAAAUCUAUAAUGAAUGUAGAAUAAAAAAGGAAGGAGACAUAAACACAGAACUCUAAAGAUGAAAGUGACAUUAAAGUCCAUCAUAACACUUUUUUACAGAUCAGCAAAUAGAGACCAGAGGAAAAUGAGGCCCAUUGCCCUCUUGCACAGCCUGUCUGCAAGUAAAUAAAGUGAAGACUGGUCACCAGAAGCAUUAUAAAAAUGGGUCACAAAAAUAAGAGAAGAAAGAGAAACAUGAUGGCAGUAGAGGACACUAAUUAUGAUUUAACACUUUUUGGUUUCUAAAAAGCAAUUCUAUUGAACUAAAGUUUGAAAUUCAGUGUUGUUCUCUAAGGACCACUUAGCUAUGGUGGUUUUAUGCAAUUACGAGAUUCCUUAGAGAGAAAUAAUAUUUUGAGAUCUAAGUAUGUGCAAACCUCUGAAGAACAUAUAGUAGUUGUAAAUAGCAUACACACAUACACACAAAACCUUAAAAUUCACUACAUUACUAUGGAAAGGAGCCUAAACAUUCUAUAGUUUACUUGAGAAGUUAUUCAUGCAUUUCCUACACACUCAUGCUUGAUCAAUCUUCUACUCUCCCAAUCCAGAGAGAGAGUCCUAGUUGAGUAUCUUAAUAUUGUGGCCUCUUACAUGAUAAAAUUUGAAAGUAAUUUUGCCUUAAAGGACAAUAUAUUAGAAGUAUAUAUUUUCUGUUACAGUAUUCUCAAAAACAAUGCAUAGGCCAGGCCCUAACAUCUUUUAUUCAAAAGGCAAUAGCCAUUUCCAUGAUUCGGUCCAUAAUAUUUUUAAAAAUGUGCAUCUGGGAUAUCAUCAUAAGUCUAAUAAGAGACUGCAUUAUAGAAAAAAGACAAAUCUCUACAUUUGAAUCAAUACUUAUUUGUUAUCAGAAUGCAUGAUAAUAACCUCAACAUUUUAAAAAUGCUUUUUGACACCUUUUAAACAUCUGGGAAUGUAAAACACAAUGUCUGAAACACUAUGGAAAGUUUUAUGAUUCUCCUAAAAAAAUGAAAAACAAAUAUCUCUAUUUCCAUUCCAGAUCUGCACAAUAUAUUCUUGCAUCCCAUUUGCUCUGAUUCAUUUACAUUUUGCUGAGUUUUGUUUUCAUUCACUUUCAUCAAUAAAAGGAUUAAAAAAAAUCAACAACAAAAAACCCUCAAAAGAUGCUUUCAGAUGAAAUUGCAAAGAAAAUAAGUACAUGAAUUAGUGAAGCAACAUCCAAGUGUAUACAAAUGUGGCAGUUACAUCUUUUCUCAUCUUGUCCGAGGAUUAAUUGCACUGUUGAAGUUAGGCAUCCAGCCUGAUCCAUGCAGACAGGAGCCCAAGCCAGAAGCAAACUCUUUGAAUAACAACACUGCUUUCUGAUUCUUUUCACAUGGCUACAUUUUUGACAUUUCCUUCAAUGUUCUACCCAGUUGCAGUGUGACUCUGACAAAAGAUUUCUGUAGGCAUCUCUGGCACAUCUGUGGUGAGUGGCAGGUAAUGGAAAGAAGUAACAAGUCCCUUUAGUGGCUCCAAAACACCCACAGGCAUUCUGCAAACCUUUUGUGUACAUGUUGCAGGUAAAGAAUAUAAAAAAGUAGAAACCGUGACGACAAUUUUAAUAAUUUGACAGACAAUUCUAUGAUCUACUCUAACUUUAUAAAGACAAAGUCACUGACACAGGGGAGAAUGACAGGAAUACAUUCUCCCUCUGCCUCUUAAGUCUCUUUAAAUGUUUACAUGAGGGUUUUACAGGUGGAUGGAGAUGACGUUAACACUGUGUUUAUUUACUCUGACCAAGGAUGAAUUAUAAAUGUUUAAUUCAACUGCAAUGGGAUUUUCUUAGAUAUUUUUAAUUUGAUUUCACUUUUGAUACUAAAUCGCUUAUCUGAGCUCUAGAACUUCCUCCCAGGACCCUGGUAGCUGUCAGGUGUCAGUAAUCAUAGUUAGCCCUUCUGUAGUCAGUGUGACCUAAAGUUCUGUCUACAAGGUAGCAAUUAGAGUCAAGUCUCUUCUGGAAAUGCCAAUUACGGCUCUUUAUAUUCUCUGUUGAAUGUCUCCUUAAUGUAAGAAUGACUUAACAUUUUUACCCUAUCACAUCGGAAAAUAUUACUUAAAAUAGCACCCAUAGUUGGUAAUAGUGCAGGAAAGGAAGCAUGCCCAAAGAGGACGGUGAAAUGCAAAAUGGAACAACCUUUCCAGAAAACAAUCUAAUAACACAUAUCUUGAUGUGUUUAUCCUACUAUAUGCACUGAUAUUAUUUGGGGGAUAUUACCCUAUACCUUUAAAUAUUCUCUAAAACCAGAACUUUAAUAUAUGUAUGGCGUUUUGUAAUAUGAAUAUAACAUAGUUUUUCAUUGUUUCUGUAUUUGUCAAAUGUCAAUUUUUGUUAUUGUAAAUAAUGCUAUAGAGAGCAUCUUUAUAAGUAUAUUUUAAAAUUGCAUUCUAUUUAUUCCUUAGGAUAGAUGCCUAGAAGUGGAAAUAUAGCCAUUAGCAAGGUUUACCUUCAAGGAUAAUUUUGUCCUAGAAACUAAGGAAUUAUGACCAGCAAACCAAUUCCUAAAAUAUAAUUCCACUAGAUCAGAUCAUUGUUUACUAGGAAAAAUAUAUGUGGUAAAACUGACCUUGCUUAUUUACACAGCCUUGAUAAUAGGUAAUUCCUCGGAGGAAGCCAAAUCAGAUCACAUGUAUGAUUGAGUAAAUCAUUGACUCAAAAAGGACAAAUCAGGUCCUACCAAAAGGACAUUCAUUUCAAGCAAAGGCACAGUCUGCUGAGUUUAUUGCCUUCUGUCCUAGAGAAAAAAUCCUCCCCCAGGUCCAUUAAUAAAGCCCAUGAACAAAUUCUUACCAUCAUUGGUUUGCAUGAGUUUGCCUCUCUUUUGAAGCCAGAUAAACAACCUGAGUUUAUAAAACUGAAAAGCCAGAAUGUUAUGAAACAUUCUGAAGUUGCCAAAACGUACUUCCCUGAUGGGAUGAGUAGAGAUGAAACUGUCUAGAAGCUGUUCUAAAGGAAAGUGUCAUUGACCCUUAAAUUAAAACGCCAGAAUUUAGAAGUCAGUGAAUAAUGACACAUCCACUUAUCAACCUGUCAUAUUGAGAAAUAUUUAAAAUAAAAAUACUCACUGUUGGCAAGAGAACAAUAUAGCUUCAUGCUCAAACAGAUUUAGGGAAGAGCGAGAGCUGAACAAAGUUCAAGUUGAUAUUUUAAUGUGCUAUUAUGAACCAGGACUCUCCAUAAAGGGCUGUAGCUAGUAGCAUUUCUAAACUUAACCUAGCAAACUCUUCUUGUUUUAAGUGGCCUUUUGUAUUUGGCUCUUGGGUUUCUGUUGAGAACCUCAAGGGAAAACACUCUGUGGAACACUUUUAGUAAAUGUUUCUCUAGCACAGCAGUUCCCAAACAUUUUGGUCUCAAAAUCCAUUCACGCUCUCAAAAACUGUCAAGGGCUUCAAAGAGCUUUUGCUUAGGUAAGUUAUAUCCAUGGAUGUUUAGCACAUGAGAAAUUAAAAGACAAUAUUUUAAAACACUACUAAUUCAACUUAAAAUAACCAUAAUAAUCCAUUAUAUGUUAACAUAUAUAACAUAUUUUCUAAAAUGAAAAAGCUAGUGAGAAUAGUGGCAUUGUCUCAGAGUUCUGAAAAUCGUUUUAAUGUUUGGCUUCACAGAAAGCUGGUAGAUUCUCAUACCUGCUUCUGUGCUGUGUCAUGAUCUACUGUUUUGGAUUGAAGUCAGGGAAAUCCAAGAGGAAUAUUUUCUUAUUGAAAUAUAAUUGAUUUACAAUAUUAUAUUAGUUUCAGGUGCACAAAAUAGUGAUUCAAAAAUUUUUAUAGGAGUUCCCAUUGUGGCUCAGCAGGUUAAGAACCUGACUAGUAUCCACGAGGAUGCGGGCUGGAUACCUGGCCUCACUCAGUGGGUUAAGGAUCUGGCAUUGCCUCAAACUGCAGGAUCAGUCACAGAUGCGGCUCGGAUCCCAUGUUGCUGCAUGUCUCGUAGGCCGGCAGCCACAGCUCUGAUUCAACCCCUAGCCUGGGGACUUCCAUACACCACAGGUGUGGACAUAAAAAGAAAAAAAUCAUUUUUUAUGGAUUAUACACCACUUUUAGUUAUUAUAAAAUAUUGGUCAUAUUCAUUGUGCUGUACAAUACAUCCUUGCAGCUCAUUUAUUUUAUACAUAGUAGUUUGUAUCUCUUAAUCCCCACCUACUAUCUUGCCC
Molecule: long non-coding RNA, 5028 nt
Filed under: Sus scrofa (pig)
Lineage: Eukaryota; Metazoa; Chordata; Mammalia; Artiodactyla; Suidae
Description: lncRNA (ENSSSCG00065041804.1)
Source: RNAcentral